UGGCUGUCACAGGCUGCUUUCCAUUGCCCUAAGGAGUGAUUCUACUGCGGCAACGAGACCAAAUACAACGAAAGUAUUGAUGCUGUAAAAGAAGACGGAUCUUUUGGUAGGCUGGUUAAUGAUGACCACAAGCACCCAAAUGGCAGAAUGCAGAAGACUGAAGUGGAUGGAAGCCCACAUCUUGGUCUGUUUGCUUUAACAGACUUUAAAGAAGGUGAUGAAAUUGCCUACAAUUACGGAGGAGGAGACUGGCCUUGGUGUAGCAAGAUUAUGGAGGGGGACACUGCUGAGAACAAUGGCCAGGAGAAACAGCAGCCAUCACAGUCUACACCUUUUCUGGAUCAUAAAUAUCAGAAUUGUGUAGUUUGCUGGCACUUUUAAUCCUGCC
Long non-coding RNA from Ictalurus punctatus (channel catfish), 388 nucleotides. The record is from Ensembl. NCBI's taxonomy places the organism in Eukaryota, Metazoa, Chordata, Actinopteri, Siluriformes, Ictaluridae.